This 28-nucleotide non-coding RNA is filed under the name Homo sapiens (human). Lineage: Eukaryota; Metazoa; Chordata; Mammalia; Primates; Hominidae. The record is from RNAcentral.
UGCCAAAUGAUGUCUUCGCAAUAAAUGG